GCAAACUUGGUCAUUUAGAGGAAGUAAAAGUCGUAACAAGGUUUCCGUAGGUGAACCUGCGGAAGGAUCAUUAUCGAAACGUGUUCCCACACACACACCGUGCACCCUCGGGCGGCCUCCGGGUCCGCCCGCGUUUUUCACAUCACGACGCAUGUCUCGAAUGUAAACCUGUUUUGUAAUAGAAACAACUUUCGACAACGGAUCUCUUGGCUCUCUAGAGGAAGUAAAAGUCGUAACAAGGUUUCCGUAGGUGAACCUGCGGAAGGAUCAUUAUCGAAACGUGUUCCCACACACACACCGUGCACCCUCGGGCGGCCUCCGGGUCCGCCCGCGUUUUUCACAUCACGACGCAUGUCUCGAAUGUAAACCUGUUUUGUAAUAGAAACAACUUUCGACAACGGAUCUCUUGGCUCUCGCAUCGAUGAAGAACGCAGC
Molecule: unclassified non-coding RNA, 435 nt
Filed under: uncultured fungus
Lineage: Eukaryota; Fungi
Description: partial contains small subunit ribosomal RNA, internal transcribed spacer 1, and 5.8S ribosomal RNA
Rfam family: Eukaryotic small subunit ribosomal RNA (bases 1-73)
Source: RNAcentral